GGGGUGGGGGGAGAGAUCGAGAGUUGCUCCGCGGUUGAAUGGAGGGAAUAACGCCAGAAAGGAACGGAAAGACUUAUGAGCCUUCACACGUUACACGUUAGGGAUCCGGGUCCCUUUUCCCCAAACACCCAAACCCCUCAACACCCCGUCACACACACGCACACACACACACUUUCCAUCUCUGAAAGUCACGCCGUUGUUUGGCAGUGAGGCCUCAUUCCUCCUGGUCAGCCAAGUGUUGUGUUAGUUGAGGUUAAUGUUGGGGCGCACACUGUACAGAUGAAGAAAUGAGCUCAGGGGACGCAAGCGACUAACCCAGGACCCCCCGCUUAUACUUCAAGAUAAAGGCAGAGUGGGAUUUGGGACAGAGGUCGGCCCUGACCAAAGUUGAGAAGGACCUUUGCCGUUGGCAGCCAGCGCUGCUCCCCUGGAAGCAAUUUCAACCCAUCAUGAGAGAAACUCCACAUCCUUUAGCAAUCACCUGCCUUCAACCCAUAGCAACCACGAACCUACUUUCUGUCUCUAUGGAUUUGCCGCGUAAAUGGAAUCCUAAAAUACGUGACCUGUUGCGCUCAAGGCUCACCCAUGUUAUGGGAUGUCCAUCAUCCCUUUUGGUGGCCAAAUAAUAUUCCGCUGUAUGGACGUACCACAUUGGUAUUCAUCAGUUGAAUGCAAAUUCUCCAUGACUCCGGCUCCCAGUUCACUGGCUUCCACGCUGCCUCUCAUCAUUCUCUGUGAUUUCCGCACCCAGGCAGGUGGCCCUCGAACCAUCCUGGCCUCUUGGUUCCAAGACCUCCUCUUCCCCCGGGACCUCGUCCUCCCCCCCAGCCCCUCCCUCCCAUGGGCGCCCCUACACCUCGUCUCAGUAACCGCAGCCUUUGAGAACUUCAGCUUCACGCAUCUCACCCACUGCCCAUCGUAGCCUGUCUUUCUAGUUCAUUCCCUCCAAAACCUCAACUCCAACAGUUCGCUGACCCUCCCAAUUUUCCUCUACCCCUCAGCCCCCUCAUAUCUUUACAGAGAUUAAAUUCCUUGACCAACAGAUGAUGAUCACCCCCUCACACACACUCUCUGCUUCCCCAUAUUCAUCUGUUGAAACUACAUUCCUUAUUAGAUCUAAGUCUCCACCUGUGCGGCUGAAUGUGGGUGGAGAAAAAUACACAACCCUGGUAACUGGCCUUGCCUUAACAUAUUUUUUUUUUUGAAUGUUUAUUUUUGAAAGAGACAGCAUGAGCGAGGGAGGGGCCGAGAGAGAGAGGGAGACACGGAAUCCGAAGCGGGCUCCAGGCUCCGAGCUGUCAGCACAGAGCCCGAGGCGGGGCUCGAACCCACAAGCUGUGAGAUCACGACCUGAGCCGAAGUCGG
This is a long non-coding RNA of Panthera uncia (snow leopard), 1365 nucleotides long. RefSeq lists it as uncharacterized. NCBI's taxonomy places the organism in Eukaryota, Metazoa, Chordata, Mammalia, Carnivora, Felidae. The record is from RefSeq and is a predicted model, not a curated record. The transcript has 3 exons.